GGUGAACGCUAGCGGUGCGCCUAACACAUGCAAGUCGAGCGGUAAAAGAAAGAAGCUUGCUUUUUUCUUUGAGAGCGGCGAACGGGUGAGUAACACGUUGGUACAUGCCCCCAAGUCAGGGAUAGCCAGAGGAAACUCUGAUUAAUACCGGAUGUGCUCUUCGGAGUAAAGAUUUAUCGCUUGGGGAGUGGCCUGCGUCCUAUCAGCUUGUUGGUGAGGUAAUAGCUCACCAAGGCUAUGACGGGUAACUGGUCUGAGAGGACGACCAGUCACAAUGAAACUGAGACACGGUUCAUACUCCUACGGGAGGCAGCAGUGAGGAAUCUUCCACAAUGGACGAAAGUCUGAUGGAGCGACACCGCGUGAAGGAUGAAGGCCUAACGGUUGUAAACUUCUUUUCUGAGGGAGCAUAAUGAGAGUACCUCAGGAAUAAGGGACGGCUAAAUACGUG
Molecule: ribosomal RNA, 451 nt
Filed under: uncultured bacterium
Lineage: Bacteria
Description: bacterial SSU rRNA
Rfam family: Bacterial small subunit ribosomal RNA
Source: RNAcentral